RNAcentral lists this ribosomal RNA (254 nucleotides) under uncultured bacterium. RNAcentral's name for it is "partial 16S ribosomal RNA". It matches the Rfam family "Bacterial small subunit ribosomal RNA", at positions 524 to 776 of the family's 1533-position model. The record is from RNAcentral.
UACGUAGGGGGCAAGCGUUGUCCGGAAUUAUUGGGCGUAAAGAGCUCGUAGGCGGUGUGUCACGUCGUUCGUGAAAACCUGCAGCUUAACUGUGGGCGUGCGGUCGAUACGGGCAUCACUGGAGUUCGGCAGGGGAGACUGGAAUUCCUGGUGUAGCGGUGAAAUGCGCAGAUAUCAGGAAGAACACCCGUGGCUAAGGCGGCUCUCUAGUACGGUACUGACGCUGAGACGCGAAAGCGUGGGGAGCGAACAGG